Long non-coding RNA from Solanum lycopersicum (tomato), 919 nucleotides. RefSeq lists it as uncharacterized. The record is from RefSeq and is a predicted model, not a curated record. Lineage: Eukaryota; Viridiplantae; Streptophyta; Magnoliopsida; Solanales; Solanaceae.
CUACUUAAUCGAUAUCAUUUUUGUUUUUCUGAAAAACAAUGAAGAAAAAAACACAAAAUUAGAAGUUAAUGUUAAAAAAUUUUGAGACGAUUUUUUAAGGAUUUUAUGGCGACUAUUGUCGCUACUAAAAACUACAUAAUUUCAGAGCAAUUUUGACCAAUUUCGUAUAUAAAAUAAUAUGUGAAAGAAGAUCUUAGAUUUGGCUGGAACUAUAAUAAAGUUUCUAUGGAAGACUGUAGAUUCCUCUCAAAGAUGAGGCUACAUUACACUUGAAUUGCUAAAGUUUCUCGUUUCAUCGCCUAUAAAUGAGUAACGUGUUCGAUCCAUUUUCACUAUAUAUAUGGGAUCCACUAGAAGGGUUUUCAAUUGCAAACCGUUCAUCCUCUGUUUUCGCAAAUGCAAAAAUCGAUUGGAAAGAAACACCAGAAGCUCAUGUAUUUUAAGUGAAAGCCAUUGAUAUUUCUGGUCGAUUGAAAAAAAAAAAAAGUUGCAGAUCAAGUGUUUGUUGAAAGUCCUCUGUCAAUAAUUGUUAUAAUUUGUGUAUUUUAACUUGAUCUUGUUAUCAAAAAAUAAAAAUGUAAUGUGAGUUUGAUAAUGAAAUAAUUUCCUUUAAACAAAUACCCUUUUUUCUCGUAAUAAAAUUUACGUAUAUUCUAUAUUUUUUUCUAAUUUUUUUUACAAAUGAGAUCUGCGUACGUUCUAUUCUUUUUCAUUAUCUAUUGUCAUUCUCAUUGUGGGGGAGGUGUGAUGUUGCUCUUAACUUGCACCUUCACAUUUUAAUUGCGGGGAGGUAUGAAGAUAGUUCGAUGUAUUAAGCAUUUUACAAAUUCAUAUUCAUGUAAUGUACAUAUUUUAAUUUCUAUUAAGACAGUUUGAUGUACUAAACGUUUUACAUAUAUAUAUAUAUAUAGGUUUAUAA